This 332-nucleotide unclassified non-coding RNA is filed under the name soil metagenome. RNAcentral describes it as "partial contains 5.8S ribosomal RNA, internal transcribed spacer 2, and large subunit ribosomal RNA". The stretch from base 1 to 120 matches the Rfam family "5.8S ribosomal RNA", at positions 35 to 154 of the family's 154-position model. The record is from RNAcentral.
GAUGAAGAACGCAGCAAAAUGCGAUAAGUAAUGUGAAUUGCAGAAUUCAGUGAAUCAUCGAAUCUUUGAACGCACAUUACGCCCGCCAGUAUUCUGGCGGGCAUGCCUGUUCGAGCGUCAUUUCAACCCUCAAGCACAGCUUGGUGUUGGGACUCGCGUUAAUUCGCGUUCCCCAAAUUGAUUGGCGGUCACGUCGAGCUACCAUAGCGUAGUAGUAAAACCCUCGUUACUGGUAAUCGUCGCGGCCACGCCGUUAAACCCCAACUUCUGAAUGUUGACCUCGGAUCAGGUAGGAAUACCCGCUGAACUUAAGCAUAUCAAUAAGCGGAGGA